GAGUAGGAAGGACGCACCGGUGGCAUUGAAGGUGUCCGACGUGGGUCGGCCUGGAGCCGCCGGUGGUGCAGAUCUUGGUGGUAGUAGCAAAUACUCAAGUGAGACCCUUGAGGACCAAUGUGGAGAAGGGUUCCAUGUGAACAGCAGUUGAACAUGGGUCAGUCGGUCCUAAGGCAUGCGGAGAAAUCCGUUCCAAAGUCCCAGAUUAUUCUUGCCCAGGAUUUUCUUAGUGGUCUGCGGUGAAUGCCGAAAGGGAAUUGGGUUAAUAUUCCCAAACCUAGACAUGGAGAUAAGUUCUUAAGGAACUCAGUGCGGUAACGCAAACGAGCUCAGAGACGUCGGCGGGAGCCCUGGGGAGAGUUGUCUUUUCUUUGUAAGGUUCUGAUUCCCUGGAAGCGGUUUACCCGGAGAUAGGGAGGAAAGAACCGUAAAGCACUGCGGCUCUUGCAGUGUCCAGAGUGCUCUCGUCGGCCCGUGAAAAUCUGAGUAAGGUAGUGUUAUUUUCAUGCUAGCCCGUACCCAUAUCCGCAGCAGG
This 535-nucleotide ribosomal RNA is filed under the name Copidognathus sp. OSH0903_4Ac. Its description in RNAcentral is "eukaryotic LSU rRNA". It matches the Rfam family "Eukaryotic large subunit ribosomal RNA", at positions 1379 to 1863 of the family's 3401-position model. Lineage: Eukaryota; Metazoa; Arthropoda; Arachnida; Trombidiformes; Halacaridae. The record is from RNAcentral.